CCUACGGGUGGCAGCAGUGAGUAAUAUUUUUCAAUUUCCUCGCUUCUGCCCCCGCCCCGUCGCGUGAAGGAUGACUGCCCUAUGGGUUGUAAACUUCUUUUAUAUGGGAAUAAAAUGUUCCACGUGUGGGAUUUUGUAUGUACCAUAUGAAUAAGGAUCGGCUAACUCCGUGCCAGCAGCCGCGGUAAUACGGAGGAUCCGAGCGUUAUCCGGAUUUAUUGGGUUUAAAGGGAGCGUAGGUGGAUUGUUAAGUCAGUUGUGAAAGUUUGCGGCUCAACCGUAAAAUUGCAGUUGAAACUGGCAGUCUUGAGUACAGUAGAGGUGGGCGGAAUUCGUGGUGUAGCGGUGAAAUGCUUAGAUAUCACGAAGAACUCCGAUUGCGAAGGCAGUUCACUGGACUGCAACUGACACUGAGGCUCGAAAGUGUGGGUAUCAAACAGGAUUAGAUACCCCGGUAGUC
RNAcentral lists this ribosomal RNA (460 nucleotides) under uncultured bacterium. Its description in RNAcentral is "partial 16S ribosomal RNA". It matches the Rfam family "Bacterial small subunit ribosomal RNA", at positions 338 to 795 of the family's 1533-position model. The record is from RNAcentral.